This 130-nucleotide ribosomal RNA is filed under the name Leuconostoc sp. KJ3. Its description in RNAcentral is "partial 16S ribosomal RNA". It matches the Rfam family "Bacterial small subunit ribosomal RNA", at positions 114 to 239 of the family's 1533-position model. The record is from RNAcentral. Lineage: Bacteria; Bacillati; Bacillota; Bacilli; Lactobacillales; Lactobacillaceae.
CACGUGGACAACCUGCCUCAAGGCUGGGGAUAVCAUUUGGAAACAGAUGCUAAUACCGAAUAAAACUUAGUGUCGCAUGACACAAAGUUAAAAGGCGCUUCGGCGUCACCUAGAGAUGGAUCCGCGGUGC